RNAcentral lists this ribosomal RNA (254 nucleotides) under uncultured bacterium. RNAcentral describes it as "partial 16S ribosomal RNA". It matches the Rfam family "Bacterial small subunit ribosomal RNA", at positions 524 to 776 of the family's 1533-position model. The record is from RNAcentral.
UACGAAGGGGGCUAGCGUUGCUCGGAAUGACUGGGCGUAAAGGGCGCGUAGGCGGAUUGCUUUGUCGGGCGUGAAAUUCCAGGGCUUAACCUUGGGGCUGCGUUCGAGACGGGUGAUCUUGAGUGGGGAAGAGGGUCGUGGAAUUCCCAGUGUAGAGGUGAAAUUCGUAGAUAUUGGGGAAGAACACCGGUGGCGAAGGCGGCGACCUGGUCCUUUACUGACGCUGAGGCGCGAAAGCGUGGGGAGCAAACAGG